This 378-nucleotide unclassified non-coding RNA is filed under the name uncultured Oligoflexales bacterium. RNAcentral describes it as "contains 16S-23S intergenic spacer region". Lineage: Bacteria; Pseudomonadati; Bdellovibrionota; Oligoflexia; Oligoflexales. The record is from RNAcentral.
UCCGGUUUAACACCGGCAGUCUCCCUAGAGUGCCCAACUAAAUGGUGGCAACUAGGGACAAGGGUUGCGCUCGUUAAGGGACUUAACCCGACAUCUCACGAUACGAGCUGACGACAGCCAUGCAGCACCUGUACUCCCGGCCUCCGAAGAGGAAACCCUAUCUCUAGGGCUGUCCGGGGAUGUCAAACCCAGGUAAGGUUUUUCGCGUUGCAUCGAAUUAAACCACAUGCUCCACCGCUUGUGCGGGCCCCCGUCAAUUCUUUUGAGUUUUAACCUUGCGGCCGUACUUCCCAGGCGGGGUACUUAAUGCGUUAGCGUCGGCACUGCAGGGGUCAAUUCCCGCAACACCUAGUACCCAUCGUUUAGGGCGUGGACUAC